UCCCUGGUGGCUCAGAUGGUAAAGCAUCUGCUUGCAAUGCAGGAAACCCGGGUUCAACCCCUGAGUUGGGAA
Bos taurus (domestic cattle) is the source of this 72-nucleotide non-coding RNA. The record is from Rfam. Lineage: Eukaryota; Metazoa; Chordata; Mammalia; Artiodactyla; Bovidae.